This 396-nucleotide ribosomal RNA is filed under the name uncultured bacterium. RNAcentral's name for it is "partial 16S ribosomal RNA". It matches the Rfam family "Bacterial small subunit ribosomal RNA", at positions 523 to 918 of the family's 1533-position model. The record is from RNAcentral.
AUACGUAGGUGACAAGCGUUAUCCGGAUUUACUGGGUGUAAAGGGCGUGUAGGCGGAGAUGCAAGUCAGGAGUGAAAUCUAGGGGCUCAACCCCUAAACUGCUUUUGAAACUGUAUCCCUUGAGUAUCGGAGAGGCAGGUGGAAUUCCUAGUGGUGCGGGGAAAAUCGUAGAUAUUAGGAGGAACACCAGUGGCGAAGGCGGCCUGCUGGACGACAACUGACGCUGAGGCGCGAAAGCGUGGGGAGCAAACAGGAUUAGAUACCCUGGUAGUCCACGCUGUAAACGAUGAUUACUAGGUGUGGGGGGACUGACCCCUUCCGUGCCGCAGUUAACACAAUAAGUAAUCCACCUGGGGAGUACGGCCGCAAGGUUGAAACUCAAAUGAAUUGACGGGG